GACGAACGCUGGCGGCGGGCUUAACACAUGCAAGUCGAACGGAAAGGCCCUGCUUUUGUGGGGUGCUCGAGUGGCGAACGGGUGAGUAACACGUGAGUAACCUGCCCUUGACUUUGGGAUAACUUCAGGAAACUGGGGCUAAUACCGUAUAGGAGCUCCUGCUGCAUGGUGGGGGUUGGAAAGUUUCGGCGGUUGGGGAUGGACUCGCGGCUUAUCAGCUUGUUGGUUGGGGAGUGGCUUACCAAGGCUUUGACGGGUAGCCGGCCUGGGAGGGUGACCGGCCACAUUGGGACUGCGAGACGGACCAGACUCCUACGGGAGGCAGCAGUGGGGAAUAUUACACAAUGGGCGGAAGCCUGAUGCAGAAACGCCGCGUGCGGGAUGACGGCCUUCGGGUUGUAAACCGCUUUCGCCUGUGACGAAGCGUGAGUGACGGUAAUGGGUAAAGAAGCACCGGCUAACUACGUG
Molecule: ribosomal RNA, 468 nt
Filed under: uncultured bacterium
Lineage: Bacteria
Description: partial 16S ribosomal RNA
Rfam family: Bacterial small subunit ribosomal RNA
Source: RNAcentral